This 492-nucleotide ribosomal RNA is filed under the name uncultured bacterium. Its description in RNAcentral is "partial 16S ribosomal RNA". It matches the Rfam family "Bacterial small subunit ribosomal RNA", at positions 28 to 507 of the family's 1533-position model. The record is from RNAcentral.
GGUGAACGCUGGCGGUAGGCCUAACACAUGCAAGUCGAACGGCAGCACAGUAAGAGCUUGCUCUUACGGGUGGCGAGUGGCGGACGGGUGAGGAAUACAUCGGAAUCUACUUUUUCGUGGGGGAUAACGUAGGGAAACUUACGCUAAUACCGCAUACGACCUACGGGUGAAAGCAGGGGAUCUUCGGACCUUGCGCGAUUGAAUGAGCCGAUGUCGGAUUAGCUAGUUGGCGGGGUAAAGGCCCACCAAGGCGACGAUCCGUAGCUGGUCUGAGAGGAUGAUCAGCCACACUGGAACUGAGACACGGUCCAGACUCCUACGGGAGGCAGCAGUGGGGAAUAUUGGACAAUGGGCGCAAGCCUGAUCCAGCCAUACCGCGUGGGUGAAGAAGGCCUUCGGGUUGUAAAGCCCUUUUGUUGGGUAAGAAAAGCAGCAGGUUAAUACCCCGCUGUUCUGACGGUACCCAAAGAAUAAGCACCGGCUAACUUCGUG